UAGCUAAUUUCUGCAAGAAAAAAUUUCACUACCAAGAAUUUGCAGCUGUCCUGUGUUUUUAGGCCCUCUAUUCAGUGCUUUCUUCCAUAUUUUCUGGGUUAUUAUACACUUUAAAACUUCUACAGUAAAAAUUUUGGUUCCUGUACAAAUUAGUAGUGACUAUAUGUUACUAUACAUACCUAUUAUCAAGAUAAAAACGGUUGCUUGUGGAGACAGCAAGUAACACAAAGUCGACUUUUGACUAAAGUCGGAGUCGACUUUCCAUCCCUAUUUCAUUAUCGUAUUUUCUCUCGUUUAGCAUGUAGCACUCUUUGAAAUUGUACGUGGUUACCAAGAAUAGUUCAUUACGCCAUGCGUGGUUACCUAGCAGCAUCUUCGUUGCGCUUGUUUAAAUUAUUUUUCCUGUAUCAACAAUUCGAAACUAAUAAAAUAAGCCAUAUCUUCAACACGUCUGAUAUGCGUAUCCGGCUUAUAGCGUUCCUUGGGAUUCGCCUUAGGAUAUUGGUGGUUCAUCGUUAUGGUAAACGCACAUACCAGGGUGCAGAGUUUUUACAGACCAUGUAACACCAACGUUUACCCGGCGUUCGCAAAAAGCUGAAUUAACGAUGUAUUUGCAUUGUCUCAUAUUUUCAUGCUUGCGCCCAACAUGCAUUGGUCCAUUAUUGCAGAAGCCAAUACAGCUAGUCACUUGGCAAGUUUUUGGCGCGAAGUGGUAUAGCGGUGAACAUUCCACAUUAAAAUGCCGUAAAUGUUUAAAUUAAAAGGCAAAGAUCCCAAUUGUGGUACAUUUCAAGGAUGACGGAAAUUCUUAAUGUGUUGAAUUGUUAGCUGAAAUGGCAAAAGUUAAAGCUGGACGUGUUGGUGUAUGGCCAGUUGGUUAAGUAGGUGGACUAAUGGUGGGAAAACCAAUAAUCAAUGCUGAAAAACACAAGUUGUUGGAGUUAAUGCUGCAUGGCGGCCAUUCCCCAAAGAUAUGGCGGUAUUUGCCGUUCAAAUGUCCACGAGAACAAUUUGCUUUUAAA
Rhagoletis pomonella (apple maggot) is the source of this 1022-nucleotide long non-coding RNA. RefSeq lists it as uncharacterized. NCBI's taxonomy places the organism in Eukaryota, Metazoa, Arthropoda, Insecta, Diptera, Tephritidae. The record is from RefSeq and is a predicted model, not a curated record. The transcript is spliced from 2 exons.